This 2583-nucleotide long non-coding RNA is filed under the name Marmota monax (woodchuck). The stretch from base 1834 to 1903 matches the Rfam family "tRNA". Lineage: Eukaryota; Metazoa; Chordata; Mammalia; Rodentia; Sciuridae. The record is from RNAcentral.
AGUGGUGUGGCAUGGAGAUGAAGGUGCCUGCCUCUCAUUCAUCCCUGCAGCUGGGAUCUGAAAAGAUUGUCCAUUAGUUCCAAGAUCCAGAUUCCUGACCUUCUCAAGCCUUGACCUUUUCCUUUCAUCCUGUGGACUGCUCCAAGGGUCUCUUGCUUAUACCAGACUUGAUAUCUGUUGCUUACAACCAAACCUUAAUGGCUGCAGGUAUGGGUUGACAGAAGGAGUAUAACGGUUCUGUGGGACUUUUUGUCAGAGACAACACAACCACACUAGUUUGGAAAGAGUAGCCUCUGGUGGAUUGGACAGCAGAGAGAGCAGGAAGGAUGGGACAUCUUGGCCAUGGUCCAAACAAGACACAGUAGCAGUUGGAGCCAGGUAAGGGCUGUGAUGAUGGUGGGUGGAUGGGAUGGGUUGCAGGGGGUUUCCUCCCUUGAGCUGGACAUGUGAUUUUUACAAAUGGAAACAUGUCAAGAGCACCCGGAAGGCUUCAUCAGAAUGAAGGCCAUACUUUGAACACUCAUUCUGAAGUUUUGGUUUGGUGAGUGUGAUCGUUAGUUUUGUGUGUCUAUUUGGCUGGGCUAUUGUGCCCAGUUAUUUGACCAAACACUAAUAUAGAUGUGUCUGUGAAGGUAUUUUUUGUAGAUGUGGGUAACCUCUCCUGUUGGUUGACUUUGAUGGUUAAUCUCGGUAAUGUGGGUGGGCUUUAUUUAAUCCGUUGAAAGGCCUUCAGAAUAAGAACCGAUUUUCUGGCAAAGGAGAAAUUCAGCCUCACAACUGCAAUAUCCACUCCUCCUAAGUGUCCAGCCUGCCAUCCUGCCCUGUGGACUCCAGACUUGCCAGUCUCAACAAUUGUGUGAGCCAACUCCUAAAAUUAAAGAUAUAUCCAUAUCUAUAGCUCUAUGUCUCUAUAUCUGUCUCUUUCUAUCUAGCAUGUAUCUAAUAUGUUUCUUAAUUAUAGGAGAAACUUAGACUCCAUUGGUUCUGUUUCUCUGGAGAACCCUGACUGACAUAUGGGUGAUUCAUUUAGGGUUCUUAGUGCAAACAGCAUGACUUUCUCUAUUCCUUUUAGGUAGGAAGGAAUUUAUUAAGGUCAUUGCAUAGCUCAUGGAAUCUUUAGGAGAAUCCAGAGAAUUAGGCUUGGAGGCUUUGUGCCUAGGAACAGUGGCCACUGAUCCUGUGAGGAUGCCUCUGAUGUUACCCCAAGAGGUAGGCACCUCUGAUUAUAUCUUUGCUGCCAAAACCUCCUCCUGCUGCCCACAAAGCUGGCAGCUAUUAUCGCUGCCCUUGCCAGAAGGUGGAUUCUGCAUGGUGCCUGCUUCUCAAUUUGUUCUAUUUAAAGUCAUGUGUAUUUUGUAUUUGAUGGGCAGAGCCUGGAUCAUGUGUUUAUACUCCAGCUCCAAGAGAGGGUAGGGAAGAUUGUUUUCUGACAUGAGCCUUGGAGAGGAGGGACUCAUAAAUGUGGGAAAUUUACCAUAUAUAGGAAAGGUGUCCAAAGGAGCUGGGAAAUAUGAAAAGCCUGCCUCAGUGGGUCUGAAUUUUCCUGGUUGUGUUUUGUCUCUGUGGGUCCUAUCUUUAGAUCACUGCAAAGACCAUCAAAAUGGCACCACUGUUGAUGUGGUAGCAGCUCCGUAUGGUUGCAGGCAAAGAGCUUAGGAAGUGACAUAGGUAUAGAGCAGCAGAGAAGCAAAGGCUAUAAAGUACACAUAGUUCAUCUUCUAAUAAUGUGUGAGUAAAAAGUGUCAAAAAUGUUAGACCUGCCUACAACUCACCUUUCUAUUAGUUAUGCUUUCCCUAUAAAAAUGGACUCAAUUAAAACAGCUAUGGGGGGCUGGAGAUAUAGCUCAGUUGGCAGAGUGCUUGCCUCACAUGCACAAGGCCCUGGGUUCAAUCCCCAGCACCACAAAAAAAGAACCGCCGCCCCCCUCAAACAAAACAAAACAAAAAACAACAACAACUAUGGAUGAUUGACAGUAAUAAAAACUGAAACUUAAAGGACACUUUUAUUGAGCACUAUUAAGGGAAGACCAGGGAAGCGCUUUCCUCACUACCUUUCACUACCUGUUAUUCUUGUUUCAUUUAAAGCUGGCUCCCCCACCCCAGGCUUGGCCAAAUAUUUCUUUUGCUCCCAAUCUUUAUACUUUCUGUCAAAAAGGUUUUUGAGCCAUUUGUAUAACUGCAGGCUUGGUAUUUCAGGUUUUAGGGCAAUGUGGCAGUACAUCUUUGCAGAUUUCUGUGGCAGGUCCCCCCUCCCACUCUCAUUGUGAUAUAAUAUAUAUAAUAAGGUGCACUGAUCUUAAGUACAUACCUGGAUGAAUUUUCACAUAUGCAUAAACCUAAGUAAUCAAGAUACAGAAUAUUCCCAGCAAUCUAGAAGUUUCUUUUGUCCUCUUCUCUAGUCAACGCCCCCAAAGCUAACCACUAUUCUGACUUCCAUCACCACUGGUUAGUUUUGUCUACUCAUAAGCUUCAUCUGAAUACAGUCACACAACCUGUGCUAUUUUGUGUCUUCUUUUGCUGAAUAUAAUGUCUGUUGACAUUCAUGCCGCUGUGUGUGUCAGUAGUUUUAUUUUCUUUACUGCA